ACGAACGCUGGCGGCGUGCUUAACACAUGCAAGUCGAACGUGAAAGUCCUUCGGGAUGAGUAAAGUGGCGCACGGGUGAGUAAUAAAUAGGAACGUGCCUAUCGGCGGGGAACAACUGUGGGAAACUACAGCUAAUACCGCAUAAGAUCGAGAGAUGAAAGGGGGCCUCUGCUUGCAAGCUUCCACCGAUAGAGCGGCCUAUUUCCCAUUAGCUAGUUGGCAGGGUAAAGGCCUACCAAGGCGACGAUGGGUAGCUGGUCUGAGAGGAUGAUCAGCCACACUGGAACUGAGACACGGUCCAGACUCCUACGGGAGGCAGCAGUGGGGAAUCUUGCACAAUGGACGAAAGUCUGAUGCAGCAACGCCGCGUGAGUGAAGAAGGUUCUUGGAUUGUAAAGCUCUUUCGACCAAGAAGAAGGGCUUUUAGGUUAAUACCCUAGAAGUUUGACGGUACUGGGAGAAGAAGCACCGGCUAAUUCCGU
RNAcentral lists this ribosomal RNA (482 nucleotides) under uncultured bacterium. RNAcentral describes it as "bacterial SSU rRNA". It matches the Rfam family "Bacterial small subunit ribosomal RNA", at positions 29 to 506 of the family's 1533-position model. The record is from RNAcentral.